RNAcentral lists this transfer RNA (90 nucleotides) under Rickettsiales bacterium. RNAcentral's name for it is "tRNA-Ser". It matches the Rfam family "tRNA". Rfam says of the family: Transfer RNA (tRNA) molecules are approximately 80 nucleotides in length. Their secondary structure includes four short double-helical elements and three loops (D, anti-codon, and T loops). Lineage: Bacteria; Pseudomonadati; Pseudomonadota; Alphaproteobacteria; Rickettsiales. The record is from RNAcentral.
GGAAGGAUGGCAGAGCGGUUGAAUGCACCGGUCUUGAAAACCGGCGUAGGGGCAACCCUACCGUGAGUUCGAAUCUCACUCCUUCCGCCA